AAAGUCUUUGAAUUGAGGUCUUCUCCGUUUGUUAACAAUGAAUGCAGUUGCUAGGUACCUCAAAAGAUGGGGAGCAUUGGUUUGAAUGGCAUUGAGAUACUUGUCCUGAUUAAACAGGUCAAUAAUCUGUGUUCUUCCAUUGUCAUGGUUGAAAAAGAUGAAAAGACUCCAAUGCAUCAACCAUACUCGACUUUGCAUCUGAUUCAAUAGUGAUGAGAAACUCUUUGAAUCAAUUAUUUCUUUCAACCUAUUAAGUUCUUCAAGAGCAAUAUCCCAGUUUUGCAUCAAUAUCUCAGCUGCCAACUUCCCCCACAGUGCACUCAGACUCCUUUCACUGUUAGUGCACAAGGCCCCGUACUGGUACAGGUAGUCAGCUGCACCGGAGUAGUUUCCACAUUCAAACUGAAAUUUCGCAUACUGAUAAAGCGCCUCAAUCUGCUCUGGACCAAUCUGAUAACGUUCAUUAAGCAUCUGAAGAUUGUACUGUUUGUCCGAUCUCAACUCCUGCACGGCGUUAGCAUUCUGCAAAAACGCCACCAGCGGGGCAGCCCCCUCCUCCAGGGCCUUCAAUCUCGCGACAACUUCCGCUCUCCUAUCCACCAUAUCUUGAGGGACGUCUUCGGUGUGAUAGAGGCUCUUGUGGAUGUCCAUGGCGUAAUCGACCAUAUUGGUUUUGUUCAAAAGCUCGAUUUUGGACUUGAAGAUCUGCUCCUCUGGGUAUAGCUGCCGUUCUUGGAGAAACUCCAAGAGAGGGAACACCAGGUGCCUGUCCAGAUUCGGCGCGAUUCUCGGUGUCAGAUCGUAAGUAGCCAUAGUCG
Molecule: unclassified non-coding RNA, 818 nt
Filed under: Hevea brasiliensis (rubber tree)
Lineage: Eukaryota; Viridiplantae; Streptophyta; Magnoliopsida; Malpighiales; Euphorbiaceae
Source: RNAcentral